CAGAAACUACAAAGGAAGUUGACGGGGCCCGCACAAGCGGAGGAGCAUGUGGUUUAAUUCGAUGAUACGCGAGGAACCUUACCUGGGCUCGAACGUAAGAUGACUGUAGGUGAAAGCUUACAUCUCUUCGGAGCAUUUUACGAGGUGCUGCAUGGUUGUCGUCAGCUCGUGCCGUGAGGUGUCGGGUUAAGUCCCAUAACGAGCGCAACCCUACCUUUAGUUGCCAUCAGGUAAUGCUGGGGACUCUAAAGGAACUGCCUACGCAAGUAGUGAGGAAGGCGGGGAUGACGUCAAAUCAGCACGGCCCUUACGUCCAGGGCUACACACGUGCUACAAUGGCCGAUACAGAGGGCAGCUACCUGGUGACAGGAUGCAAAUCUCCAAAGUCGGUCUCAGUUCGGAUCGGAGUCUGCAACCCGACUCCGUGAAGUUGGAUUCGCUAGUAAUCGCGCAUCAGCCAUGGCGCGGUGAAUACGUUCCCGGGCCUU
This 488-nucleotide ribosomal RNA is filed under the name uncultured Sphingobacteriales bacterium. Its description in RNAcentral is "bacterial SSU rRNA". It matches the Rfam family "Bacterial small subunit ribosomal RNA", at positions 894 to 1382 of the family's 1533-position model. Lineage: Bacteria; Pseudomonadati; Bacteroidota; Sphingobacteriia; Sphingobacteriales. The record is from RNAcentral.